UCUUAUUCCAUCUGUUCUUAAUGAGUUUUAGAUAAUUUUAGUUGUAUUUCUUUGUAAUUUUGUGUUGUACAAAGAUUAAUUUAACAUUUUCUCUGGAAGUAUUAAUUUAGAAAGAUAAUAUGCUUCAUUGGUGUUGUGUUUUGAAGUGUGAAAUGCAAAGUAAUUGUGAUAAAGUCAAGAUAAAGUUCACUUUUAAACUGAACUAAAUAAGGUAUCUGAGAGACAACAAUGGUUAAAUGCAAUACAAUGUACAGGUUUUACUAGCGAAAUGAAAAUUUUCCUGUCCUGUCUGCUGUAAUCAUUUUAUAUCUGGAAAACCAGCCGACUUAAUCGAUAAUAACAAUCUCCAGAUUGGGUUCCUUCAAUAAAUAUGGGCUAUUAACACAAUGAAAUAAGUUCCAGAAAAUCUAAAAUGGAGUGGUAUCAAAGGAGAAUUAAAGGAAAAAAUAUUCAUAUUGAAAUUAUUUAUAAGGCACUGGACUGUCUUAAAUUCUACAAUAAUACUAGAAUCAGCUGAGAGAAGUGGUCUACAAAAAACCAGGAAGGAAACGGAAUAUGUGGCUACGAAAGGCAAAAGAAAGGUUUACAAAGCAAAUGUGACACAUUUUUUUGAAAUAUUUAGGAAUAUCAGUAAAUU
This is a long non-coding RNA of Diabrotica virgifera virgifera (western corn rootworm), 637 nucleotides long. RefSeq lists it as uncharacterized. The record is from RefSeq and is a predicted model, not a curated record. The transcript is spliced from 3 exons. Lineage: Eukaryota; Metazoa; Arthropoda; Insecta; Coleoptera; Chrysomelidae.